RNAcentral lists this ribosomal RNA (274 nucleotides) under Shigella sonnei. Its description in RNAcentral is "partial 16S ribosomal RNA". It matches the Rfam family "Bacterial small subunit ribosomal RNA", at positions 524 to 797 of the family's 1533-position model. RNAcentral also lists the same sequence under 1 other name. The record is from RNAcentral. Lineage: Bacteria; Pseudomonadati; Pseudomonadota; Gammaproteobacteria; Enterobacterales; Enterobacteriaceae.
UACGGAGGGUGCAAGCGUUAAUCGGAAUUACUGGGCGUAAAGCGCACGCAGGCGGUUUGUUAAGUCAGAUGUGAAAUCCCCGGGCUCAACCUGGGAACUGCAUCUGAUACUGGCAAGCUUGAGUCUCGUAGAGGGGGGUAGAAUUCCAGGUGUAGCGGUGAAAUGCGUAGAGAUCUGGAGGAAUACCGGUGGCGAAGGCGGCCCCCUGGACGAAGACUGACGCUCAGGUGCGAAAGCGUGGGGAGCAAACAGGAUUAGAUACCCCCGUAGUCCC